AAUAGCUUUUGGGCUAGCGUUUAGCGUUCCCUUUGGGGGUAGAGCACUGGAAGGUCUCGACAGGUCGAAAGAUCGCGAAACCUAUCAAACUCCGAAUACCAGAGGUUAAAAGCUAGGCAGUUAGACCGUGAGGGCUAAGCUUCACAGGUCAAAAGGGAAACAGCCCGGAUCUCUAGUUAAGGUCCCUAAAUCAUAGCUAAGUGCGCUUAAGGUGGUGAAUUUUCACAGACAGUGAGGAUGUCGGCUUAGAAGCAGCCAUCAUUCAAAGAAAGCGUAACAGCUCACUCACUAAGAGAAUUUGCGCCGAAGAUAAUCGGGGCUCAAGCUAUGUACCGAAACUGAGGACCAGCCGUACUUUCACUGUUGACGUUUGUGGAUUGUUUAGAGUUUGGUGCCGCACCUAGCUUUAGAUGACUACAAAACGCCGUUAGUGAAAGUACGGCUGGUGGUAGGAGAGUAUUCCAAUCGCAAUGAAGCCAAAGGGGUGACCCAUGGUGGAGCGUUUGGAAGUAAGAAUGUUGGCACAAGUAACCACAAUAGGGGUGAGAAACCCCUACGCCGAAAGACCAAGGUUUCCUUGGCGAUGAUUGUCAGCCAAGGGUUAGUCGGGCCUAAGCGAAUGGCGAAAGCCGCACGCGAUGGACACAUGGUUAAUAUUCCAUGACUUAUAUAACAUGCGAUGGGAGGACGG
This 691-nucleotide ribosomal RNA is filed under the name Candidatus Blackburnbacteria bacterium. RNAcentral's name for it is "bacterial LSU rRNA". It matches the Rfam family "Bacterial large subunit ribosomal RNA", at positions 863 to 1475 of the family's 2925-position model. Lineage: Bacteria; Candidatus Blackburniibacteriota. The record is from RNAcentral.